RNAcentral lists this non-coding RNA (26 nucleotides) under Homo sapiens (human). The record is from RNAcentral. Lineage: Eukaryota; Metazoa; Chordata; Mammalia; Primates; Hominidae.
CUGGAGGAAGUGUUCUUGCGUAGCCC